Molecule: transfer RNA, 68 nt
Filed under: bovine gut metagenome
Rfam family: tRNA
About the family: Transfer RNA (tRNA) molecules are approximately 80 nucleotides in length. Their secondary structure includes four short double-helical elements and three loops (D, anti-codon, and T loops). Further hydrogen bonds mediate the characteristic L-shaped molecular structure. tRNAs have two regions of fundamental functional importance: the anti-codon, which is responsible for specific mRNA codon recognition, and the 3' end, to which the tRNAs corresponding amino acid is attached (by aminoacyl-tRNA synthetases). tRNAs cope with the degeneracy of the genetic code in two manners: having more than one tRNA (with a specific anti-codon) for a particular amino acid; and 'wobble' base-pairing, i.e. permitting non-standard base-pairing at the 3rd anti-codon position.
Source: RNAcentral
UGAUGUAGCGCAGUAGGUAGCGCACGUCAUUGGUAAUGACGAGGUCACGGGUUCGAAUCCCGUCAUCA